CGCCAAUUGGAGGCCUUCGCUCUGAUCUUCUUAGUUGAGAAAGAAAACAUAAUUCCACCUUGAACAUCUUUUUCACAAGAGGCAAAACCACAAUGAGAGGAACUAGACUGUGCCUGGAAUGGAUGUUCAACAUAUGUGUAC
This 141-nucleotide long non-coding RNA is filed under the name Monodelphis domestica (gray short-tailed opossum). RNAcentral's name for it is "lncRNA (ENSMODG00000035386.2)". Lineage: Eukaryota; Metazoa; Chordata; Mammalia; Didelphimorphia; Didelphidae. The record is from RNAcentral.